AGUUCUGGCGUCAGGAGUGAACGCUAGCUACAGGCUUAACACAUGCAAGUCGAGGGGCAGCAUGAAGGUAGCUUGCUAACUUGCCGGCGACCGGCGCACGGGUGAGUAACGCGUAUCCAACCUUCCCCUUAGUAGGGCAUAGCCCGUAGAAAUGCGGAUUAAUACCCUAUGUUAUUCGUCGAGGACAUCUGAAGUGAAUCAAAGGUUUACCGCUAAGGGAUGGGGAUGCGUCUGAUUAGGCAGCAGGCGGGGUAACGGCCCACCUGGCCGACGAUCAGUAGGGUUCUGAGAGGAAGGUCCCCCACAUUGGAACUGAGACACGGUCCAAACUCCUACGGGAGGCAGCAGUGAGGAAUAUUGGUCAAUGGUCGAGAGACUGAACCAGCCAAGUAGCGUGCAGGAUGACGGCCCUAUGGGUUGUAAACUGCUUUUAUGCGGGGAUAAAGUGACGUACGUGUACGUUUUUGUAGGUACCGCAUGAAUAAGGACCGGCUAAUUCCGUGCCAGCCGCGGC
This 514-nucleotide ribosomal RNA is filed under the name uncultured bacterium. Its description in RNAcentral is "bacterial SSU rRNA". It matches the Rfam family "Bacterial small subunit ribosomal RNA", at positions 27 to 518 of the family's 1533-position model. The record is from RNAcentral.